This 66-nucleotide transfer RNA is filed under the name Metasalis populi. RNAcentral describes it as "tRNA-Tyr". Lineage: Eukaryota; Metazoa; Arthropoda; Insecta; Hemiptera; Tingidae. The record is from RNAcentral.
GAUAAGGUGGCCGAAGUUUAGGUUAUAAAUUGUAAAUUUAUAUAUGGUAAAUAUUACCCUUUAUCA